UGCAAGUCGAACGAUGAACCACUUCGGUGGGGAUUAGUGGCGAACGGGUGAGUAACACGUGGGCAAUCUGCCCUUCACUCUGGGACAAGCCCUGGAAACGGGGUCUAAUACCGGAUACCACCCUCGCGGGCAUCUGUGAGGGUUGAAAGCUCCGGCGGUGAAGGAUGAGCCCGCGGCCUAUCAGCUUGUUGGUGAGGUAACGGCUCACCAAGGCGACGACGGGUAGCCGGCCUGAGAGGGCGACCGGCCACACUGGGACUGAGACACGGCCCAGACUCCUACGGGAGGCAGCAGUGGGGAAUAUUGCACAAUGGGCGAAAGCCUGAUGCAGCGACGCCGCGUGAGGGAUGACGGCCUUCGGGUUGUAAACCUCUUUCAGCAGGGAAGAAGCGAAAGUGACGGUACCUGCAGAAGAAGCGCCGGCUAACUACGUGCCAGCAGCCGCGGUAAUACGUAGGGCGCAAGCGUUGUCCGGAAUUAUUGGGCGUAAAGAGCUCGUAGCGGCUUGUCACGUCGGGUGUGAAAGCCCGGGGCUUAACCCCGGGUCUGCAUUCGAUACGGGCUAGCUAGAGUGUGGUAG
RNAcentral lists this ribosomal RNA (580 nucleotides) under Streptomyces sp. A12(2015). RNAcentral's name for it is "bacterial SSU rRNA". It matches the Rfam family "Bacterial small subunit ribosomal RNA", at positions 56 to 654 of the family's 1533-position model. The record is from RNAcentral. Lineage: Bacteria; Bacillati; Actinomycetota; Actinomycetes; Kitasatosporales; Streptomycetaceae.